This 75-nucleotide transfer RNA is filed under the name Nanobdellota archaeon. Its description in RNAcentral is "tRNA-Met". It matches the Rfam family "tRNA". From Rfam's summary of the family: Transfer RNA (tRNA) molecules are approximately 80 nucleotides in length. The record is from RNAcentral. RNAcentral also lists the same sequence under 1 other name. Lineage: Archaea; Nanobdellati; Nanobdellota.
GCCGCUGUAGCUCAGCCUGGUUAGAGCGCUAGACUCAUAAUCUAGAGGUCGUGAUUUCAAAUAUCGCCAGCGGCA